This 253-nucleotide ribosomal RNA is filed under the name uncultured bacterium. Its description in RNAcentral is "partial 16S ribosomal RNA". It matches the Rfam family "Bacterial small subunit ribosomal RNA", at positions 524 to 776 of the family's 1533-position model. The record is from RNAcentral.
UACGGGGGGGGUAAGCGUUGUUCGGAAUUACUGGGCGUAAAGGGCUCGUAGGCGGCCAACUAAGUCGGACGUGAAAUCCCUCAGCUUAACUGGGGAACUGCGUCCGAUACUGGAUGGCUUGGAUUUGGGAGAGGGAUGCGGAAUUCCUGGUGUAGCGGUGAAAUGCGUAGAUAUCAGGAGGAACACCUGUGGUGUAGACGGCUCUCUGGACCGCAACUGACGCUGAGACACGAAAGCGUGGGUAGCAAACAGG